Molecule: transfer RNA, 73 nt
Filed under: Stegodyphus mimosarum
Lineage: Eukaryota; Metazoa; Arthropoda; Arachnida; Araneae; Eresidae
Rfam family: tRNA
About the family: Transfer RNA (tRNA) molecules are approximately 80 nucleotides in length. Their secondary structure includes four short double-helical elements and three loops (D, anti-codon, and T loops).
Source: Rfam by way of RNAcentral
GCCUUCGUGGUGUAGUGGUCUGCAUAGUCGACGCGUAACCGAGAGGUCCGUGGUUCGAUUCCCGGCGAAGGCG